Molecule: ribosomal RNA, 467 nt
Filed under: uncultured bacterium
Lineage: Bacteria
Description: partial 16S ribosomal RNA
Rfam family: Bacterial small subunit ribosomal RNA
Source: RNAcentral
GACGAACGCUGGCGGCGUGCUUAACACAUGCAAGUCGAACGGAAAGGCCCUGCUUUUGUGGGGUGCUCGAGUGGCGAACGGGUGAGUAACACGUGAGUAACCUGCCCUUGACUUUGGGAUAACUUCAGGAAACUGGGGCUAAUACCGGAUAGGAGCUCCUGCUGCAUGGUGGGGGUUGGAAAGUUUCGGCGGUUGGGGAUGGACUCGCGGCUUAUCAGCUUGUUGGUGGGGUAGUGGCUUACCAAGGCUUUGACGGGUAGCCGGCCUGAGAGGGUGACCGGCCACAUUGGGACUGGGAUACGGCCCAGACUCCUACGGGAGGCAGCAGUGGGGAAUAUUGCACAAUGGGCGGAAGCCGGAUGCAGCAACGCCGCGUGCGGGAUGACGGCCUUCGGGUUGUAAACCGCUUUCGCCUGUGACGAAGCGUGAGGGACGGUAAUGGGUAAAGAAGCACCGGCUAACUACGU